GAGUUUGAUCCUGGCUCAGGACGAACGCUGGCGGCGUGCUUAACACAUGCAAGUCGAGCGGUAAGGCCCUUCGGGGUACACGAGCGGCGAACGGGUGAGUAACACGUGGGUGACCUGCCCUCAGCUCUGGGAUAAGCCCGGGAAACUGGGUCUAAUACCGGAUAUGACCACAUGUCGCAUGGUGUGUGGUGGAAAGUUUUUCGGCUGGGGAUGGGCCCGCGGCCUAUCAGCUUGUUGGUGGGGUGAUGGCCUACCAAGGCGACGACGGGUAGCCGGCCUGAGAGGGCGACCGGCCACACUGGGACUGAGACACGGCCCAGACUCCUACGGGAGGCAGCAGUGGGGAAUAUUGCGCAAUGGGCGAAAGCCUGACGCAGCGACGCCGCGUGGGGGAUGACGGCCUCGGUUGUAA
This 412-nucleotide ribosomal RNA is filed under the name uncultured bacterium. RNAcentral describes it as "bacterial SSU rRNA". It matches the Rfam family "Bacterial small subunit ribosomal RNA", at positions 9 to 428 of the family's 1533-position model. The record is from RNAcentral.